GCGGCCAGGCUGGCGGGUUAGGGUUUGGUGGUUUAAUUGCAGGAGGGGGAACCACCUCGCUCGGGCCGGUGAUCCUCAGUGGCUGGGGGUCCGGGAUAUCGCCGAUAACUGCAUUCUGUACCGGGUCUUCGCACACGCCUCUCCCAUCGCGACUCUAAGCUCAUUGGCAUCCAGGUACAGGCUGACAUAGAUGUCGUUCCCCCGGGGACCUCAAAUCUUCUUGCUUCUAAAGGUGGCCUGAGAGGAAUGAUCCAGAUAAGACGUUUUGGAGAGCAGAGAACCUCUUAUUUGGAUUAAUUCUAGAGGCCACCUGUGGUUGUGGUCAGCAGGCCAGGGAGAAGGCAGCUGGUGAAGGCUUGACAUUGGCCGGAGGCAUGUCUCUGGAUUUAUUAUUUCUGCUGUUUUGUGACUGCGGUGCUCAUACAUUUGGGGAGAGGGGAAGGGGCAAUUUGAGGGGAAGGAUGACCAGAUAGAAGCUGAUGUAGGCUCUUUUUUGGAUGGUAGCUAUCUGCCAGUCAUCCCCUUUCAGGGAAACCCUUGGCCUCCUCCCCAUCCCUUUCUCCUCCCUCUGAGCAUUCUGAAAGUUCCAGCAAGGAGGGCUUCUGUGUGAUGGUGCAUUGGAGGGUCCUCGUGUGUAAGAGCGGUGUCAACUACCCUACCACAAGAGGACUGAGUCAGACUGACGCUUUUUAAAGGUUUCCUCUCAACUCUAACCUUUUCAGCUUAUAAGAUCGUGGUGGUGGUGGCCUUGCAAAACCAAGCAACCCAACUGUUUGCUGUCACUGGUUUAUUUAUAUUUUUUUGCUCACCACCUUUAAUGAGGUUACUGCCACAAUGGCACCUCGGGUUGAAGCCCAGUGACUAUGCUAUCCCAGCCUUGCUUUGGUUAGCUGAUUGGUCAUCUUCAGUUCAGUUCAGUCUCUCAGUCGUGUCCGACUCUUUGCGACCCCAUGAAUCGCAGCACGCCAGGCCUCCCUGUCCAUCACCAACUCCUGGUCAUCUUACCUUGCCGGCAAUCUCUGUGCCUUUGUAGUUUUCCACAAAACGCUGGGUUUUCUUCUGCCCGCCAUAAAAGAUGCUGUAAGAACCUGCACAAGUAUCUAGCCAUUUAACAAGGCAGCCUAGGACCAUUAUCUCAUUGUGUGUGUGUGUGUGUGUCUUCUCUCCUCACCGGAUUGUCAGUUCCCUAGGGACAGUGCCACAGUUUUUGUGUCUCCUGCACGGCACCCAGCGUUUGCCCUGUUCAUUUCAAAGGUGCUCAGUGAAUUCAGGCCAACCUUUUGUGAUUAUGCACUGUGGAAAUGGUGCUGAGGCUCGGGGGCCCUGUGUUGUGUAUGCAAAUAGGUUUGUUAUUAUUCCUGCUUCAUUUCCACCUUAGUCACUGUGGGAUCAGAGAAGACAGCAAUUCCAAAAUUGUUCCCUUGUAAAAACAAUAGUAUUUAAACAGAAAUAUUGGAAAACCAGUAUUAUUUGGGUAGUCACCAUCUGGCAAGCUCUGAGGUACAUGUCUUCAUGCAUCAGCAGUUCCAGUGGACUUAAGAGAUAAAGCCUAUCACUGAUGAGGAAACUGAGCCUUAGGGCUAAAGUAACCUACUCACUAUUACACAGCUGGCUAAACACUAGAGUUGGGAUUUGAAUCCAGCAAUCUGGCUCCACAGCCUAAGUUCUUAGAGGUCUGUCUUGUUAUUUCUGUUUUCUAUCUUAAUUCCUUACAGAAAAUGAAAGUGUCUUUGGGCUAGCCAGGCAGGGACUUGGUUAUCUAAAAGGAGGAGAAAACAUGAAACCAUGAUCCUUUCCAGACUGAUUAAAAAGGGAAAACAAUAUUAAUAUCCCCAGGGGAGUAAUUGCAAAGUACUUAUGAAACAAGUAGAUGAAAUUUCAGACUGUAAAGUUCAAACAGUUGUCAAGUUAAAUCUUCUUGCACGAGGUCAUUUGGAAUGAUGUAGUAAACCAGAGCGAUUAACCUCUGGCUUUUCCUUGGAUGUCAGCUGGUGAUGUAACCUUAUAAUGUAUGUGCUUGUUUGUUGAACACAGUUCUUACAAACUUUACCUUGAAGGGCUCUCAAAGCUCUGCUAAGAAAAAAGACAAUAGUCUCUUGGCAUUGUCUUUUUUCUGUUGGUCCAUGGAAUAGGGUCACUGAAAAAUCAUGCCCAAUUUAUUUUCUUAAGAAAGAAACUGAUGGAGUCGUGGUGGAUAGGAGAGCUGUGCUAUUUCAGUAAACUAAUCAGAUACCUUGAAAGUGAUACGCUUUGUUUUUCAAGCUCUUUUUAACAGAUCUCAGCAUAUUCUGUACAUAUUUGUUAUUUUCCAGCCCAGUAAUUAUACUUUUUGCAUCAAUUGUGCUUGUACAACAAAAACCGAUAGAGUGUUCUGGAAAUAAAGCCAGUGGUGAAAUACUGAAAUUCUUUGUUUUACAGAAGAUUAUCUUGUCAUUUUCACCCACAACUUUCUUGUAAAAUGUUUCUGUGAAGCUUUAGAGGUAGCUAUAAAGUGGGGAAUUUAAGUCUGGUGACCACAGCCAACCUCACUGCAUCAUCAGUAGGGUAGUUGGUAAAACCACUUUGCACAGUUGUGGGCUGUGUGCUGGACAAGUAAGCAGAGUCCUUUGCAGUGUGGGUUUUCUCCAUCCACCAGAUUGAAUCACAUUCUUGCAGGUUUUCUGCAUCCCACAAUUACGGUUAUAAUGACUCACGAUUAAAAAAUCCAUUUACCACUCAGUUCCCUGGCACCCCAGAGCAUUCUGCCACUGUCCAGUUGGCACUGAUUACUUGGAAUGAACAAAAGAGCCCAUGUAAACCGUGUGUUUCUUAUCAUGUGCCUUUUACCAAAAGACUCAAAGCAGACGGUGUUUGCAACAUUCGGCAUCUUGUGUGAUAAUGAACCAUAAAGCAAGGAGGCGCUAAGGAGGAGCCCGCAGAGGGUCUAGGCUUGAUGAAUGGCCUGGGCAGAUGGCAGCGGAACAGCUACCAACUCUGACAACCCCACGCGGAGACAACGCAUGCCGCUCACCGCACUUACCUGAUUCUAGAAUGCCGUCUGCUUUAAGAUAAGAUUUGAGAUGUUUUAGGAGAAGAAGGAAACAUUUAUAUAUUAAAUACAGAAGCACCGAAACACUGCAAUGUAAAAAACAAGGCCUGUGUGAGCGUCAAAGAAAAGUUGUAUCAUCCCCAUUGGGACCGGUAUUACUUGACCUGAUUGAAUAACCUUUAGGUCAGACUAUGAAAGGCAUAAAGUUAGUUUUCAGA
Bubalus bubalis (water buffalo) is the source of this 3246-nucleotide long non-coding RNA. RefSeq lists it as uncharacterized. The transcript has 2 exons. NCBI's taxonomy places the organism in Eukaryota, Metazoa, Chordata, Mammalia, Artiodactyla, Bovidae. The record is from RefSeq and is a predicted model, not a curated record.